UACGUAGGGGGCAAGCGUUGUCCGGAGUUACUGGGCGUAAAGCGCCCGCAGGCGGUCGUCUCAGUGCUGGGUGACAGCGCGCGGCUUAACCGCGCGAGGACCCGGCAGACGGGGCGACUUGAGGGCCAGAGAGGGACAUGGAACUCCGGGAGGAGUGGUGAAAUGCGUAGAGAUCCGGAAGAACACCAAAGGCGAAGGCAGUGUCCUGGCUGGCACCUGACGCUCAGGGGCGAAAGCGAGGGGAGCGAACGGG
This 253-nucleotide ribosomal RNA is filed under the name uncultured bacterium. RNAcentral's name for it is "partial 16S ribosomal RNA". It matches the Rfam family "Bacterial small subunit ribosomal RNA", at positions 524 to 776 of the family's 1533-position model. The record is from RNAcentral.